UGGUGGUAGUUGGGGGGAGGCAAAGUGAUGGACAGACAGAGGAAAGCUGAGAAGAGAAGGUGGCUUCUUACUGGUUGGUUGAACUCUUGGAUGUGUGAAGGUAUACUUCUUUACAAACAGGCCAGGACCAGUUUGAGGUUUGUCAAGUCGCUCUGUUCCAGACUGUAACUGCUGUUGAAGGGAUCUUUCUGCAGUGAAGAUCCAGUGCUCAACAUGCAGUCUGUGGUUCCACUGGCUUUGCACUGGCAAACCACCUAAUUUGAGAACUUCAUUCAGGAGAUUUGGCUGAGGCGUUAGACCCUCCCCGACGAAGUUUAAAGGAACCCCACUCCGCCGGCAAAACCUACAAAGAUGUUCUGUAAACUGACGUUUCUGCAAUGACAACAACCUACCUGCCGAUUUCCCUUUCGCUUACGGUUUCCCUGGAUCAUGGUUCUAUCUGGACCCUGGUCCCGUCUCCUGCCAUGGCCUGCUCACACACAACAUUGCUACAAUGCUGUUGAAGCAGCAUUCCAACAAUUUUUCCUCCAGGCUUCUUCUUAAUUGAAACACUUGUUGAACCAUCCAAAUAUUCAGCUCGUUAAGAACAUGCCGGUGAUGACUCCAAGUUUUGACCACUUAUAUUUCCAGAAAUAUUCCCCCCCCCCCAACACACAUAAUUUCAAAAUAAAUGCCCAUGGAACUGGGGGUGGAAACUGUCACAAGCAUCACACACAUUCUUGGUCAUUACCUUACUUGAGUCAUCCUGCGUUGCUUUGGAAUUCAGUUAAAUGCUUACGUUGGUAAGCAAGGAUCGCUAAUUAGCAAUAGCAUUAGUUUAGGUCAUCUCCCGCGGAGACCGCGCAUGAGUGACGUGAUGUCAUUUUUUUUUAAUCAAUGGCACGCAAUCAACUGGUACUGCCUUCAAGAUCCACUGGUGGAUCGCGAUCGACCUAUUGGGCACCCCUGUAUUGACUGUUAAGGCUAACUAACUAUGGUCAAGUAUUUGGUUCUAUUUGUUAUCUGUGUUUAUUUCAGAAACUCCAUCUGUCUAUUCAUCUGUAAACCUGUAUGUCGGAGUGAAUACAGAAUAAGGUGGAACUAUCAGAUGUCUGCGUGUUCUCUGACCGGAACCCUGUAGUGGUCAAUGUCCAACAAUAAAUCAGCAUCUCAGGGGUUGGAUCUCCAACACCUAUCAUUUAAUAAACUCUUUGGGUGAAUGCUAAAUAUUUUAAUUCUGUCUCUUGACUCUCUCACCUAAGCAAUCCUAUCAUUUCAAAAUAAAAGUCUCAUGGAUAGAAUUCUAACUGGGAUGCUUGUGAUGAGGCCUGUAAUUUGAUAACCUCUUUGUGUGAUGCCAAGCGUUUAGAUCAGUGGUCCCCAAACUAAGGCCCGCCUCCACAUUUGGCCCGGCACCCUGAACAAUAUCAGAGGGGCAUUAUGAUUUUUUUUUCAGUCUGGCCACGCAAAUCCUAGACUAGCCCCUGUGAAAUAGAACGGAAUAAUGGAGAAAAGGUUGAUUCAGAAUGCAGGGUAUUUAACCUGCAUUGGUCAAACGAUUAUUUGUUUGUUCAAUGCUAUCAUCUGUCAAGAGGCGGUGGCGGUUAUUAUUAUUAUUAUUAUUUCAUUUUUUUCUGUAAAGAUCCCAGAGAAGAUUAUUUGGUUAUUAUUUAUUUCAUUAAGUGAUAUUAUUUAUUUUCCUGACUUUUUUUUCUGUGAAGAUCCCGGAUUGGUAUUAUUUGGUUAUAUGUGGCUUUCUGGAAAACAA
Long non-coding RNA from Pungitius pungitius (ninespine stickleback), 1747 nucleotides. RefSeq lists it as uncharacterized. The transcript is spliced from 3 exons. NCBI's taxonomy places the organism in Eukaryota, Metazoa, Chordata, Actinopteri, Perciformes, Gasterosteidae. The record is from RefSeq and is a predicted model, not a curated record.